Molecule: long non-coding RNA, 2048 nt
Organism: Lycium barbarum (goji berry)
Lineage: Eukaryota; Viridiplantae; Streptophyta; Magnoliopsida; Solanales; Solanaceae
Exons: 2
Source: RefSeq, a predicted model, not a curated record
UGAUGGAAUCAAGAUGGGGAGAUUAUGAAAAUCUUUUCUCUCUCCUUUCUUAUUUUUCCUCUCUUUCCUUGUUCCUUUUUCCGUUUUCCAUUUUUAUCAUUUUCGAUCUCCUCCUUAAAAUCACUCAUCAUGACCUCCUUUACAACCGUUGCAUAUUGUCAGUUACACUUGUUCUUACUUCAUCUUGUUAAUACCUUCUUAUUUCGCCAGUCCUGAUUUUCGCAUAAAAUUAGUAAAAUUCUCAUUUCAUAUCCCCAAAAUUCUCCCUCUUCCUUUUAUAUUUAAUUUGCCAUCCCAAUACUUUCAUAAUCAUCCCAUAAAUUCAUCACAUAUAGUAUAAUCUAUAGGAGUCCCAAAAAAAAAAAAAAGGAGGAGGAGAAGGAGAAUAGAACUCCCAUUAACUAUAUAUAAUAUAAAACUAGGCAUAGACAAGAUGAUGUGACACCUCUAUAUGACCUAGAAUGCUAUUUAUCUUUUUUUUCUCAAUUUUUUUGACUUUUUUCCUCUUUUUCUUCACCUAUGUGCUAUUACAAAAAAUAUAUUAAAAAGUCACUUCUUAAAAAAAUUACUCAAUGUUAACUACCAUUUAUUGUGUUUUCCUGUCUUUAGUAACCUUUAAGACCACCAUUAUCAUUUCAAUUAAAAAGAAUAUGGCACCUAAGAAUCCCUUCAAACAAUCCUUUUUAUAGACGAACUCUAAAAUUGAGUUCGUGCAGCCAUUGCUGAAAGGAAAAGAAGAAGUCUAAAGGUUUGAUUUAGCUCGGAAGGGGACUCGAAGAUUAGCGUGAGGCGUAAAUAAGGUAUGUAAGGCAGACCUUUCUUCCUUUGGCAUGAUUCUUGUUGUUAUUCAUUCUAUAAGUACUCUAUAUGAUUCUAUUCUUGGACGAGUAAGGUCUAAAUGUUUCUUGUGAUGGCUUAUUGAUAUUGUACUCCUAUUCUAUUCCGAAGGGAACACCCAUAAGGUGCCAAGUUGAGUUGUGUAUAUGGUUUUACUAAUGAUUUCGAGGAAAUGAGUUUUAUACUAAAGGAAACAUGAAGUUUGAUUUUCAAAACCACUCUGAAGGGGGUGCGAUAUUUUACUACUUGAUUUCAUUUACGAUUUAUGUUUACAUUCCAUAGUAUCACCCCUUUGUAUUGAUAUGAUCAUUUAUUCGUUGGGUAGGGCAAUAAGAUGAAUUUGAGUAAACUACAAAUAGUAAGAAUCUCAUAACAAUUCUACCCUCAAACCUGGAAGUAUGUCCUCCUAAGUCUAGUGAGAUACAAAUUUGAUAACUUCUUAUGAAAGACUAAGGCUAAUAACUGGUUUGUGAUGAAUUGAUUAGUGACUUAUGAUAUGAAUUGAAAUUGAUAUUUGUGGAUUGAGUUUGUGUUGAUAUGAUGGUGAUAUUAAGCCGGAAGCGGCUGCCCGAAGGGGCCAUCAUUAUUAUGCCGAAAGCAGCGUCUGAAGGGACUAUUGUGAUACUAGCUGGAAGCGGCUGUCCGAAGGGAUCAUUCUGUUAAUAUGUCGGAAGCCAUGUGUUGGAUUGCAUUAUUUACUUAAAGAUUGUUUUGAGACUUCGUGUGCACAUUUAUAUUUCUUCCAACGAAGGCUGCAGGUAUUGAGUUAGAUUGUGGUUUCUUCUGUCCUAAGUCAAAUUAUGAUUGUGAUUUGUUAGAACCUUACAUACUCAGUACAUUGUCCGUACUGACGUACUUUUGCCUGGGAACAUUGCGUUCAUGCCCGCAGCCCCAGAUUGUUUGGCAGGUUAAGUAUAUAGCUAGGAUGCUUGGACGUCAGCUGGGAUUGGCAAGUUCCACCUCAUUCUGGAGCUGUGUAUAGAUAUGUAUGAUUAUAGGUAUGUCAGGGCCCUGUCCUGACUCAUAAUGUUCAGUUUACUUCUUAGAAACUUCUGCAGACAGUGUCUUGUGAUAUGUUUGUCGAGAUGUCGACAAAGUGAUGUUAGUUGAGUCAUUUGUGGAUUUUAAAAGAGUAUGUAUUUUAGAUGAUUUCAAUUGGUUUAAAGUACUUAUUUGAUUGAAAGUUUUCAUAAUCGUUAUAAAGAUAAUAA